RNAcentral lists this transfer RNA (66 nucleotides) under Ochthebius peisonis. RNAcentral describes it as "tRNA-Ile". The record is from RNAcentral. Lineage: Eukaryota; Metazoa; Arthropoda; Insecta; Coleoptera; Hydraenidae.
AAUGAAGUGUCUGAGAAAAAGAGUUAUUUUGAUAGAAUAAAAUAUGUAAAAAUUUUACCUUCAUUA